Molecule: ribosomal RNA, 253 nt
Filed under: uncultured bacterium
Lineage: Bacteria
Description: partial 16S ribosomal RNA
Rfam family: Bacterial small subunit ribosomal RNA
Source: RNAcentral
UACGAAGGGGGCUAGCGUUGUUCGGAAUUACUGGGCGUAAAGCGUAUGCAGGCGGAUCGUUAAGUCGGGGGUGAAAUCCCGAGGCUCAACCUCGGAACUGCCUCUGAAACUGCAGUGCUAGAAUCUUGGAGAGGCGAGUGGAAUUCCGAGUGUAGAGGUGAAAUUCGUAGAUAUUCGGAAGAACACCAGUGGCGAAGGCGACUCGCUGGACAAGUAUUGACGCUGAGGUGCGAAAGCGUGGGGAGCAAACAGG